RNAcentral lists this ribosomal RNA (901 nucleotides) under Russula sp. 2 LM-2010. RNAcentral describes it as "LSU rRNA". It matches the Rfam family "Eukaryotic large subunit ribosomal RNA", at positions 64 to 943 of the family's 3401-position model. The record is from RNAcentral. Lineage: Eukaryota; Fungi; Basidiomycota; Agaricomycetes; Russulales; Russulaceae.
ACUAACAAGGAUUCCCCUAGUAACUGCGAGUGAAGCGGGAAAAGCUCAAAUUUAAAAUCUGGUGGCCUUUGGCCUCCGAGUUGUAAUUUAGAGAAGCGUCUUCCGCGCUGGACCAUGCACAAGUCUCCUGGAAUGGAGCGUCAUAGAGGGUGAGAAUCCCGUCUUUGGCAUGGACACACCAGGGCUUUUGUGAUGCGCUCUCGAAGAGUCGAGUUGUUUGGGAAUGCAGCUCAAAAUGGGUGGUGAACUCCAUCUAAAGCUAAAUAUUGGCGAGAGACCGAUAGCGAACAAGUACCGUGAGGGAAAGAUGAAAAGCACUUUGGAAAGAGAGUGAAACAGUACGUGAAAUUGUUGAAAGGGAAACGCUUGAAGUCAGUCGCGUCGACCGAGACUCAGCCUUGCCUCGGCUUGGUGUACUUCUCGGCUUGACGGGUCAGCAUCAAUUUUGCCCCUUGGAUAAUGGUGAGGGAAAUGUGACACCUUUACGGUGUGUUAUAGUCUCUCGUCGCAUGCAAGGGUUGGGAUUGAGGAACUCAGCACGCACCUUCGGGUGUCGAGGCUUUGCCUACGAUACGUGCUUAGGAUGUUGGCGUAAUGGCUUUAAACGACCCGUCUUGAAACACGGACCAAGGAGUCUAACAUGCCUGCGAGUGUUCGGGUGGAAAACCCGUGCGCGCAAUGAAAGUGAAAGUUGGGACCUCUGUCGUGGAGGGCACCGACGCCCGGACCAGACCUUCUGUGACGGCUCUGCGGUAAAGCAUGUAUGUUAGGACCCGAAAGAUGGUGAACUAUGCCUGAAUAGGGUGAAGCCAGAGGAAACUCUGGUGGAGGCUCGUAGCGAUUCUGACGUGCAAAUCGAUCGUCAAAUUUGGGUAUAGGGGCGAAAGACUAAUCGAACCAU